UAUUAAAUAUUACAAAACUAUAGUUUAUUUUUAUUUAAAGACAAUUAUAUAUUAUGAUUUAUCAGUUUAUAAUUGGACAAUUGGUCGGCAGUUUAGUGCUUAUAUAUCAUUUACAAAUGGCAAAACUACAGGUCCCAAUUUACCAAUUCAGGGGCCUAUUAUAAUUUAAAAUAUUGGGCCCUUAUAUUAUUAAAUAAAAUUGUUUAGGUUAUAGGUAGGACCGACAAUUAUAUGCCCAAAAACCUAUUAAAUAUGUAUGCAGUUUUUUUUCUAAUAAUUACCAAAAUAUACUCUAAAAACAAAAAAAAGGCGAGUAACGUUCUGCUGCACCGGGUCAGGUAACAAAAUAAAUAACACAAUGAAGUAAAAUAAAUUGGUAAAUUUUAUGAUUUUCUUAUUAUCGCGAAAGCACUUUAUCCAAUGUAACGAAAUGCCGCUGCCGUUAAGUUAAUAUAGCCAUAGGUUAAGUAUAAUAUACUUAUAAUAGGUUUAUUUAAAUAAUGUAAAAACCGAAAUAAAUUAAUACGAAAAAAAUAAUGUAGUAAAAAAUUAUAUCGAUAUGUAUAUCAACGCAUAUGCAAUAAAUUAUUACCAUAAUAUUAUAAUGAGUAACUCACGUUAAAAAAAACAUAAAAAAUAUUAAAUGCUGUAUUAAAUUUUCGAAAUUAAAUUUUUCAUGAUAGAUAUUACUCGUCUUUUCAAUAGACAUUUUAGUCAUUUUACAAUAUUCAAAAUAAUAUUACCUGUUUGUGAGCUAUCUUCGUGUCCGAAGUAUUUGAAUGUCUGAAUAAGAAUUUCCUGUUGAGCAAUUAUAGCCCAACACCAAGACAUUAACAGUAUGUCUGGUAUUAUCAUUGAGUACAUAAUACAGGAUAACGCAAGUUCAUAAUGUUCUGUUGGCGGAUAUUUUCGUCUUCAGGUGCUGUGAACGCAAUAAGCACGAGAGGAAAUAGUACCCACUGUGACAUCACUGUCGACGAGAAUACGAAAAAAGGAAUCAAUGUAACUCAAAGUAUCUUCCAUCUUCACAAAAAAUCCUAAAGAACUGUAAACGACAAUUCCGUUCACUAAUACCAAUAAUAUAAUCAAUAAUAGCCGG
This is a long non-coding RNA of Aphis gossypii (cotton aphid), 1099 nucleotides long. RefSeq lists it as uncharacterized. The record is from RefSeq and is a predicted model, not a curated record. The transcript has 3 exons. NCBI's taxonomy places the organism in Eukaryota, Metazoa, Arthropoda, Insecta, Hemiptera, Aphididae.